Molecule: ribosomal RNA, 1044 nt
Filed under: Triticum aestivum (bread wheat)
Lineage: Eukaryota; Viridiplantae; Streptophyta; Magnoliopsida; Poales; Poaceae
Description: partial small subunit ribosomal RNA
Source: RNAcentral
AUGGUGGAUUGUGGUCACGGUUUCAACCCCAAGGAUCCCAUGAAUCUCACUCCAAGAGAAGCGGUUGAUGAUGAACUCAAUGCUACCGCCCACAACAUGUUGCGCACUGCGGUGACCGAUGACUAUAGUGACUCCAUUGCUCUACUCAAGACCGCCAAGGAAAUUUGGGAUUGCCUUGAGGAGGCCCUCGAAGGUGAUGAAGCAAUUCGAAGAUCUCGGUUGGCUUUGCUCAAGCAAGAAGUCAACCUAUUUGUGAGAAAUGAGGGUGAGUCCGCGGAAGAGGUAUAUCGAAGGUUGAAGUCUCUUGUGCUCAAUUUGAGAACCUUUGGGUGCACUUGGGCAAAUGAUGAUUUCAUUAAGGACAAGUUCAUUGAUGCUAUGGUUCUCACGGAACAUACCAUGGUGAUGAUGAUACAUCAACGCCCGGACUAUCAAAAGUUGACCGUGGCACAAGUUGUAUCCACUUUCUCAACUCAUGUUCUUUUGGAGACCAAGUCCAAGAAGACCUUUGCCAUAGCUCAAGCCACCAAGAACUCAAAUCUUGCAUUGAUGGCCAAGAAAGUAGUUGCCCAACCCUCAAGGAUGAAGAAGUUGUUGAAGAGACUUGUGAGGAAGAUGUUGACACCUCAUGCCCGGCAAAUGACUUUGCGGAAGACUUGGCUCUCUUGGUCAAGAAAUAUUCCGGGACCAUGGCAAACAAAGGGAAGAAUCUGCAAGGAAGAUCGUUUGGACGAAGAAAAUGCUACAAUUGUGAUAGCCCAAGACAUUUUGUGCACGAUUGUCCUUAUGAGAGACGUGAAGACAAGUCCGAGAAGCUUGUGCUCAAGAAGAAGAAGUUCACCAAGUUUUCCAAGAGGAAAGAUGACAAGGCUCUUGUUCAUGAGGAGUACAUGUCCGGAGAUGAAGAUGACGGUGAUGAUGAUCAUGUGGGCACGGCCGCCAUUGCCAUGCAUGCCACUACCUCCUCCUCCACCACCGGCCUCUUCGACUCUCCCAACGAGGACAAGCCGUUCACUCAUCAUUGCCUCAUGGCCAAAGAGGUAA